UCUGAUGAAAAUGCUUGGAGGCUCCUGGCUGAGGUUUCUCUCUCUGAUGAGAGGUUCCGGGAAGUGAAUGCACUCAUCUUUGAAGUCAUUGCCAGUGGCGAAGAUGGCAUUGAACAUGAUGCUAAGAGUCUGCCUAAGGAGCCCGAUCCUAAAGCUGAAUCCACUGAAGAAGAAAGCACCAUCACCAAAACCUCCCACCGCGCUAUGGUGGGUGGGACACAAGAAUGCGUUGUUCUGCAGUAGGAACUGGCAUUCCACAAACAGAACCAUGUUUCAUCCAUGUUAUAGUUUCUACUAAGCCCGUUUGGCAUGUAUGAUUGUGUAUGGC
RNAcentral lists this long non-coding RNA (328 nucleotides) under Gossypium barbadense (sea-island cotton). RNAcentral's name for it is "long non-coding RNA (GBAR_LNC000202)". Lineage: Eukaryota; Viridiplantae; Streptophyta; Magnoliopsida; Malvales; Malvaceae. The record is from RNAcentral.